UACGGGGGGGCAAGCGUUGUUCGGAAUUACUGGGCGUAAAGGGCUCGUCGGCGGCCAACUCAGUCAGACGUGAAAUCCCUCGGCUUAACCGGGGAACUGCGUCUGAUACUGGAUGGCUUGAAUCCGGGAGAGGGAUGCGGAAUUCCAGGUGUAGCGGUGAAAUGCGUAGAUAUCUGGAGGAACACCGGUGGCGAAGGCGGCAUCCUGGACCGGCAUUGACGCUGAGGAGCGAAAGCCAGGGGAGCAAACGGG
This 252-nucleotide ribosomal RNA is filed under the name uncultured bacterium. Its description in RNAcentral is "partial 16S ribosomal RNA". It matches the Rfam family "Bacterial small subunit ribosomal RNA", at positions 524 to 776 of the family's 1533-position model. The record is from RNAcentral.